This is a long non-coding RNA of Drosophila obscura, 352 nucleotides long. RefSeq lists it as uncharacterized. Lineage: Eukaryota; Metazoa; Arthropoda; Insecta; Diptera; Drosophilidae. The transcript is spliced from 3 exons. The record is from RefSeq and is a predicted model, not a curated record.
ACUCCAAAUUGGCCUCAUCAAUAUAUUUCGCCAAUUCUCUAAAGAAAAGAGGCUCUUUUGUGAGUAAUAACUCCUUGAUGUUAUUAAAUCGCUUGAAAAUCUUGUACUUUUUCCUAAUACUGGCAUGUCUCUGGCAGUAGAAAAUUUCGUGUUCCGCAUCAUCGAGAACACUGCAAACUUCACAGAUGUUGGAAUUUCUGGCUUUGAUCCUAUGUAAAAAGACGUGAUCAUAGUCGAUCUGGACUCUAAUCUUAACUGUUCUAAUUACUUCAUCGAAGCUGAGAGCAAUGUUCUUAUGACCGGGUAUCCAGUGCAAAACAAAGUUGCUAGUGAAGGAAUUGUCUAUAUUGAG